This 1700-nucleotide ribosomal RNA is filed under the name Salmonella enterica. RNAcentral describes it as "partial 23S ribosomal RNA". It matches the Rfam family "Bacterial large subunit ribosomal RNA", at positions 140 to 1773 of the family's 2925-position model. The record is from RNAcentral. Lineage: Bacteria; Pseudomonadati; Pseudomonadota; Gammaproteobacteria; Enterobacterales; Enterobacteriaceae.
UUGUCACACUAUCAUUAACUGAAUCCAUAGGUUAAUGAGGCGAACCGGGGGAACUGAAACAUCUAAGUACCCCGAGGAAAAGAAAUCAACCGAGAUUCCCCCAGUAGCGGCGAGCGAACGGGGAGGAGCCCAGAGCCUGAAUCAGCAUGUGUGUUAGUGGAAGCGUCUGGAAAGGCGCGCGAUACAGGGUGACAGCCCCGUACACAAAAGCGCAUGUGCUGUGAGCUCGAUGAGUAGGGCGGGACACGUGGUAUCCUGUCUGAAUAUGGGGGGACCAUCCUCCAAGGCUAAAUACUCCUGACUGACCGAUAGUGAACCAGUACCGUGAGGGAAAGGCGAAAAGAACCCCGGCGAGGGGAGUGAAAAAGAACCUGAAACCGUGUACGUACAAGCAGUGGGAGCCCCACCACCAAAGCAUUCUCUGGUGUUGAAGGCCCUGCAAAGCAGCAUCGCGGUGGCGGAGCGUCGUUUGCGACGCCCGACACACAAAACAAGCGGUGAGUGCUUUGGGGUGGGGUGACUGCGUACCUUUUGUAUAAUGGGUCAGCGACUUAUAUUCUGUAGCAAGGUUAACCGUAUAGGGGAGCCGGAGGGAAACCGAGUCUUAAUUGGGCGUUAAGUUGCAGGGUAUAGACCCGAAACCCGGUGAUCUAGCCAUGGGCAGGUUGAAGGUUGGGUAACACUAACUGGAGGACCGAACCGACUAAUGUUGAAAAAUUAGCGGAUGACCUGUGGCUGGGGGUGAAAGGCCAAUCAAACCGGGAGAUAGCUGGUUCUCCCCGAAAGCUAUUUAGGUAGCGCCUCGUGAAUUCAUCUCCGGGGGUAGAGCACUGUUUCGGCUAGGGGGUCAUCCCGACUUACCAACCCGAUGCAAACUGCGAAUACCGGAGAAUGUUAUCACGGGAGACACACGGCGGGUGCUAACGUCCGUCGUGAAGAGGGAAACAACCCAGACCGCCAGCUAAGGUCCCAAAGUCAUGGUUAAGUGGGAAACGAUGUGGGAAGGCCCAGACAGCCAGGAUGUUGGCUUAGAAGCAGCCAUCAUUUAAAGAAAGCGUAAUAGCUCACUGGUCGAGUCGGCCUGCGCGGAAGAUGUAACGGGGCUAAACCAUGCACCGAAGCUGCGGCAGCGACACUGUGUGUUGUUGGGUAGGGGAGCGUUCUGUAAGCCUGUGAAGGUGGCCUGUGAGGGUUGCUGGAGGUAUCAGAAGUGCGAAUGCUGACAUAAGUAACGAUAAAGCGGGUGAAAAGCCCGCUCGCCGGAAGACCAAGGGUUCCUGUCCAACGUUAAUCGGGGCAGGGUGAGUCGACCCCUAAGGCGAGGCCGAAAGGCGUAGUCGAUGGGAAACGGGUUAAUAUUCCCGUACUUGGUGUUACUGCGAAGGGGGGACGGAGAAGGCUAUGUUGGCCGGGCGACGGUUGUCCCGGUUUAAGCGUGUAGGUGUGUGUUCCAGGUAAAUCCGGUUCACUUUAACACUGAGGCGUGACGACGAGGCACUACGGUGCUGAAGCAACAAAUGCCCUGCUUCCAGGAAAAGCCUCUAAGCAUCAGGUAACAUCAAAUCGUACCCCAAACCGACACAGGUGGUCAGGUAGAGAAUACCAAGGCGCUUGAGAGAACUCGGGUGAAGGAACUAGGCAAAAUGGUGCCGUAACUUCGGGAGAAGGCACGCUGACACGUAGGUGAAGUGAUUUACUCA